GCGGUAUGAAAAUCACCUGGGUUCUCCCGUGGCCCCUGGUGGGGUAACCGUGCCGACAGCAAAGGGAACAUAAAGCUUACUGCCCGCAGCGACGUGCGGGGAGUAAAACCCAUGUUCCCAUACGC
This is a small nucleolar RNA of Amazona collaria (yellow-billed parrot), 125 nucleotides long. The record is from Ensembl. NCBI's taxonomy places the organism in Eukaryota, Metazoa, Chordata, Aves, Psittaciformes, Psittacidae.